RNAcentral lists this transfer RNA (68 nucleotides) under Camelus bactrianus (Bactrian camel). It matches the Rfam family "tRNA". Rfam says of the family: Transfer RNA (tRNA) molecules are approximately 80 nucleotides in length. Their secondary structure includes four short double-helical elements and three loops (D, anti-codon, and T loops). RNAcentral also lists the same sequence under 2 other names. The record is from Rfam by way of RNAcentral. Lineage: Eukaryota; Metazoa; Chordata; Mammalia; Artiodactyla; Camelidae.
GAAGAUAUAGCUCAGUGGUAGAGCGCGUGCUUAACAUGCAUGAGGUCCUGGGUUCAAUCCUCCAUUCA